Molecule: long non-coding RNA, 1126 nt
Organism: Armigeres subalbatus
Lineage: Eukaryota; Metazoa; Arthropoda; Insecta; Diptera; Culicidae
Exons: 4
Source: RefSeq, a predicted model, not a curated record
ACGGCGAACAAGAUCAGCGAAAAACAAACGUCAUCAAAAUCGGCGAACACCUACUUCCGUCAACGUCAUUCCGCAUUCUUCUCGCCGCCGUCAGCAGCAAAGUUGUGCAGCAAAAAAGAAAAAAAUAAAAGUGCCCGUUUUUCGUACGAACGGAAAAAAAUCGUCCUAGGAAGCGGACGAAGGGCGCGAGUGCUUAAGAAGGAAUCGGGGAAGGAAUUCCUGACGAUAUAGGAAAAAUAUUAACAGCAAUUGAAAUUGCUUCCCUCAUUCGCACCGAUUGUGCCAUCCGGACCGUAAUUGUGACAGCACGUGGGGACAUAUUUAAAGUCUAACAGACUGCUCGCUUUGAAUCCCAGAGACGAAUCCGGACGGGCGGGUGGACUAAAGAAUACUAAGCACGUCGGAACACUCCCGGUACCGUAAACCAGAAAGGGCAAGGCAUUAAAUCGAUCGGGGCAGAUUAUAGCUAAUUGAGUACCUAUACAAAGAGCACACCCGAAAUCAAACCAAAGCUCAAGGACACAGCACCGUCAUCCUUCCAUUCGCGGCUCGCACGACAAAAGGCCUCCACAAGGAGGCCAUUUUUCUAUAUUUUGCAGAUCGGUCACGGUGAACGGCCUUAGCCUCCCGAAAGGUAACCGCCGUGGGCGUUUCGAACACUGUGGGGAUCGAAGUCUGAAGCCGGAAAAACCAUCAUUCAACUGUCGUGCUGGGAAGAGUUCGGCAUUGCGCGAGAAGGUACGGAAGCUUGAACCGGAAAGAGAAGGACACGGACGGAGAGAAGGAGAAGGACACGGACAGCACCCGCUGGAAGAGCGAUUGGCGUAUCGCUGCCAAUGACAAGACGAAUCUUCACGCCACUUCAGAAGCACAGGGGUUCACCAUUUCCUCGCGAUACGAGAUGCGCUCGACGGAAUCCAGGUGGGAAGAACGAGAGCGGCACUGAGGAUGCGGCAGCCGUGAGUGAUAGUUUUAAGAAAUUGAAACGAAGAUGUAAGAAGACCAGGCAUGCUAAUCGAGUAGGAGAGUAGGGAGUCAGAAGAACGUUGAGAAGUUAUGUAAAUGGGUGAAAUAUAGGAUGAUAUGAUUGCACACUAAAUUAUGUUUUGUGGCGUUUAUUGUUGCU